AUUGAACGCUGGCGGCAUGCCUUACACAUGCAAGUCGAACGGUAACAGGUUAAGCUGACGAGUGGCGAACGGGUGAGUAAUGUAUCGGAACGUGCCCAGUCGUGGGGGAUAACUGCUCGAAAGAGCAGCUAAUACCGCAUACGACCUGAGGGUGAAAGCGGGGGAUCGCAAGACCUCGCGCGAUUGGAGCGGCCGAUAUCAGAUUAGGUAGUUGGUGAGGUAAAGGCUCACCAAGCCGACGAUCUGUAGCUGGUCUGAGAGGACGACCAGCCACACUGGGACUGAGACACGGCCCAGACUCCUACGGGAGGCAGCAGUGGGGAAUUUUGGACAAUGGGCGCAAGCCUGAUCCAGCCAUGCCGCGUGCGGGAAGAAGGCCUUCGGGUUGUAAACCGCUUUUGUCAGGGAAGAAAAGGUUCUGGCUAAUACCUGGGACUCAUGACGGUACCUGAAGAAUAAGCACCGGCUAACUACGUGCCAGCCGCCGCCGUAACAC
This 496-nucleotide ribosomal RNA is filed under the name uncultured bacterium. RNAcentral's name for it is "bacterial SSU rRNA". It matches the Rfam family "Bacterial small subunit ribosomal RNA", at positions 30 to 526 of the family's 1533-position model. The record is from RNAcentral.